GAUGAAGAACGUAGCGAAAUGCGAUACGUAAUGUGAAUUGCAGAAUUCAGUGAAUCAUCGAAUCUUUGAACGCAUAUUGCGCUCUCUGGUAUUCCGGAGAGCAUGCUUGUUUGAUUAUCAGUAAACACCUCAACUUCCAUAUCUUUUUUGAAAUGGGAGUUGGACUUGAGUGAUCCCAACGCUUUUCCUCACCGAAAAGUGGCGGGUUACUUGAAAUGCAGGUGCAGCUUGACUUUUCUCUGAGCUAUAAGCAUAUCUAUUUAGUCUGCCUAAAAAACAGAUUAUUACCUUUGCUGCAGCUAACAUAAAGGAGAUUAGUUCUUGUGUUGACUGAUGCAGGAUUCACAAAGACAGGCUUCGGCCGACUUUGUAAACUCGAUCUCAAAUCAAGUAAGACUACCCGCUGAACUUAAGCAUAUCAAUAAGCGGAGGA
This 433-nucleotide unclassified non-coding RNA is filed under the name soil metagenome. RNAcentral's name for it is "partial contains 5.8S ribosomal RNA, internal transcribed spacer 2, and large subunit ribosomal RNA". The stretch from base 1 to 120 matches the Rfam family "5.8S ribosomal RNA", at positions 35 to 154 of the family's 154-position model. The record is from RNAcentral.